GAUGGAGUCAGGAGCUCCGUGAUCAGAUAGGAAGGAUUCGUGCGGUUCAGGCAGCUUGGAGGUGAAGCUCAGUCCGUUAGGAAACAACCCAGACUGCACCUUCCCCAAAGGGAAUGUCAGACUUGCCUCUAAAAGUCAGUAAAUCCAGCUGGUUAAUAAGCCUUUUGAGUCAUACGUGGUAAAAUCACCUCUUGGGGGGUUGGAAGAGUCACUUUUUCUGUUGUUAGCAUACAUCCUCUUGAAGUAGCUAAUAAAAUCAGAUAUUCCUGGGGAGUAGAAAUGUGAGUGGAGCUAGACUUGUGUAACGGAGUAACUUCUUCCUGUCUGCAAGGAAGAUGCUUGGCUGUCACCGUCAGCAUGUUGCCGGUGUGGUGGCCUGAGUGAGAACGUGCCCAUCUCAGUCCACCCACUGCGCACCUGCAGAAACCGUCUCAUGUUUAGCAGCUUUUUUUUUUUUUUUUUUUUUUUUUUUUAACUAUCUCACUUCAGGAAUAUCUUAUGCGAGUGCAUUCGCUCGCUUCUCCGUAGGAUGCAGUUACCGGGCACUAGCUCAUCUUUUCUUAAGGGGCCAGAUUAGCAGGCCUUGUGAGCCUAGGACUGAAAGCUGCUGUAACCAGUUUGUAAAUUCACGAACACACAACAGCCCUGAUGUAUUCCAGGAAAACUCUAUAUAUAAAACAGACAGCAGGCUGUACCUUGCUGUCACCUUUCUAGAAUUUCUGUUUGAGCAGAAAGAAAGAAAAAAAAAAAAAAAA
This 755-nucleotide long non-coding RNA is filed under the name Rattus norvegicus (Norway rat). RNAcentral's name for it is "long non-coding RNA NONRATT017159". The record is from RNAcentral. Lineage: Eukaryota; Metazoa; Chordata; Mammalia; Rodentia; Muridae.